This 101-nucleotide ribosomal RNA is filed under the name Octodon degus (degu). The record is from RNAcentral. Lineage: Eukaryota; Metazoa; Chordata; Mammalia; Rodentia; Octodontidae.
GUUUACAGCCAUACCACCCUGAAUAUACGAAGUCCCAUCUGAUCUCGGAAGCUAAGCAGGGUUGGGCCUGGUUAGUAAUUGGAAGGGAGAAGUUGUUGACU